RNAcentral lists this ribosomal RNA (444 nucleotides) under uncultured bacterium. RNAcentral's name for it is "SSU rRNA". It matches the Rfam family "Bacterial small subunit ribosomal RNA", at positions 26 to 518 of the family's 1533-position model. The record is from RNAcentral.
AGAGCGAACGCUGGCGGCAUGCUUAACACAUGCAAGUCGCACGAAGGUUUCGGCCUUAGUGGCGGACGGGUGAGUAACACGUAGGAAUCUAUCCAUGGGUGGGGGAUAACGGCGGGAAACUGCUGCUAAUACCGCAUGACACCUGAGGGUCAAAGGCGCGAGUCGCCUGUGGAGGAGCCUUCGUCCGAUUAGCUAGUUGGUGAGGUAAAGGCUCACCAAGGCGAUGAUCGGUAGCUGGUCUGAGAGGAUGAUCAGCCACAUUGGGACUGAGACACGGCCCAAACUCCUACGGGAGGCAGCAGUGGGGAAUAUUGGACAAUGGGCGAAAGCCUGAUCCAGCAAUGCCGCGUGGAUGAAGAAGGUCUUCGGAUUGUAAAGUCCUUUCGGCGGGACGAUGAUGACGGUACCCGCAGAGAAGCCCGAUAACUUCGUGCCAGCAGCCGC